Molecule: transfer RNA, 67 nt
Filed under: Pseudunio marocanus
Lineage: Eukaryota; Metazoa; Mollusca; Bivalvia; Unionida; Margaritiferidae
Description: tRNA-Glu
Rfam family: tRNA
About the family: Transfer RNA (tRNA) molecules are approximately 80 nucleotides in length. Their secondary structure includes four short double-helical elements and three loops (D, anti-codon, and T loops).
Source: RNAcentral
GCUAAUUUGGUGUAGUAGUACGCACAUUGGCCUUUCAUGCCAAAAGAACAUGAGCUUGUACUUAGCU